GGUUGGUUCUGAAUUGGGAAUCUCUCUCGGUUUCCUGCUUCUGCUUCUGGUUCUCUCAGAAUUCUAGCCCUAGGAAUUUUCUUCUUAAUUUUGUCCUGAUUGCGUUGCCUGAUUGAAUUUUUAGGUUGAUGCUCGACUCUCUUGAAACUCUGGCACUCGAGAUUGAUCAUGCAGUACCUUGAUCAGGAACUUCAUUAUCAAAAGCUUAAGAUGUGGAGUUUACGGUCUCAAAUAGAAGAUUGAUUAUGAUUUUCUGUAACUUGGUUUCAAAGGUUUAUGAAGAUUUGGAGUUUCUGCUGCCACAGAGAAGAAGGUAAACCCUAAAGCAGAUCUAUCUAACUAUUCAUUAGUUACUCAUUGUGUAACUAACGUUGGACCGAGUUUAUGAUUAUGGUUGUGUGGACCAAGUUUAUACGAUUCUUCAAUAUUUGGAUUGUUGGUUUGAUUUUUAUCAGGGGUUCUUACUUUCUUAGUUGGUAUUUACAGGUUUUCUUAGAUGGUAUGAAUUGAAGUCUUUCCUCCUGACCCAGAAUUCUUCUCAUGCUGAAAACGCCUCGAUUUUUGCUUUGUAUAGGGUUUGAUAAUUGAUUUCUACUUUACUUAUUCGUCGCAGGAAUUGAUGAGAGGUUCUGUCUUCAUUACCAACUGUAUUUUCUUUGUUGUGUUGUUGUUGAUCAUCCAGCAAUAUUGUUCAUCAGAAUUGUCGCCAUAGAUCGAAGUUACGCUGGGUUAUUUCAGCAAAGAGAUCGCUGAAACCCUUAUUUAUAAAAUUCAAGCUUUAGUCUCAAUUCCAACAUGUUCUGUAGUGGUAUUGGCUAUGAAGUGGUACAACCUGCUUCAGGUGGAUGCAUGCUUGGUGCCCAUGCUCAUCAGUCGAUUGCAUUUAUAUAUGUACCUCAAGAGGAAAGAAUAGGUAUUGAAAAGAUAUGUUCACCCUUAGUUGCUAUUGUUGACACCAGUGCCAAAGAAGAACCGACCACUAUUCCAUCCUUUUCCCAAAUCAAGGCCUCCUGGAAUUUAAGGUGGUGCUAAUAUUUUAGCUAUCAUUUGUAUGCAAGAAUUCAUUGACGAUCAAGUGCCAGGUGAGUUAAGGAAAUUUCAUUUAGGUAUGGGACUUUUCUGGAUCAUAGUAGAUUUUAAUUAAAUUUUUGGUUUUAAAAAUGUUCGGUGUUGGUCAUGGUUGGGGAGCUUUGGUAGCAUUUUUUGUUGAAAUCCGGAAGAGUUAAAGCUGUAUAGUAAAAAUGAGUUUUGCUUUUCCAAAUACAGUAGUGAACAAGACCAGUUGAGAGUGUAGGAGCUGCUUUUCGGUAAUGAUUACGAAAUUCGCAGAUUUCAUGUUUAUUCUUCUUUUUCUAUUUCUGAUUUUAUUCGUGAAAUGCUGAU
Long non-coding RNA from Papaver somniferum (opium poppy), 1383 nucleotides. RefSeq lists it as uncharacterized. NCBI's taxonomy places the organism in Eukaryota, Viridiplantae, Streptophyta, Magnoliopsida, Ranunculales, Papaveraceae. The transcript has 7 exons. The record is from RefSeq and is a predicted model, not a curated record.